GCGCCUUGCUUUAAAAAGGCCCUCGCCUCUCGCCUCUUGUCUAAGGCCAUAGGAUACCUUGUCGCCUUUCACCUUGACAACACUAUUUAGUAUUAAGAUUUUGACAUGAUUCAUUAAUUGUGUCGUAUUCAUAUUAACCCUUAUCAUUUUCGUAUUUACCCUAAUUGUGUUCGUGUCAUGUAUUGACAUGACAUAAAUACAAUCAACCAACCGGAAUUUACACCCUUACCCAGCCCUCUCUAUUGUGUGUCAAGCUUAGGAUUAAUGGUUAUGUGAAGCCCAACUCAAUCCACCCAACAAAUUAUUUAUUUUAUUUUAUAUAAUGUCUAUUAGCAUAGGCCAAGUUUGGCCAAAGAUAUAGGUCCAAUAUUUAGGCCAAGCAAACCCAAAUAUUAAAUAUGUAUAAACAAACAUAAAGCUCAUUCCAAACAUGUAAGCAAUGCUGCUCUGUAAUAUAUCCCAAGGAAACAUGUCACACGAUAUUCUCAUACUAAGGCCUCUUUUGGGGUUGAGAAUAGGAGGUCAAAAAUUACUUUUUGAAAAACCACCAUUUUAGAUACUAUUG
Molecule: unclassified non-coding RNA, 565 nt
Filed under: Hevea brasiliensis (rubber tree)
Lineage: Eukaryota; Viridiplantae; Streptophyta; Magnoliopsida; Malpighiales; Euphorbiaceae
Source: RNAcentral